AUGGAUCUGUUCAAUUGGAGGAUUUCAUGGGUCAUCGAUUCAGUACCCACAUUAACGGGAACCGAUUACGAUUAUAUCAUACGUAAAACCCGGGAUGGAUUUUCAAUUUCUGGAGGAGGUCACGUCGAAUGUACUUAGGAUAGACCUAAUUAAGUAUGUUUGGGUGUAGACGCGGGUGAAAGGAUAGUUAGUAAUUACUAAUGUGUUAGAUGGGACGAGGGUGAGAAACGGACAGUAGGGAUAACAUGUUGUCGUUAUCACCACUAGGUAAAAGAAUAGGAGUGGGGCACCCAUUUAUGGUCAUUCUCAGUUGUCGCAUUCUAUUAUUGUUU
Molecule: long non-coding RNA, 332 nt
Filed under: Physcomitrium patens
Lineage: Eukaryota; Viridiplantae; Streptophyta; Bryopsida; Funariales; Funariaceae
Description: long non-coding RNA (PPAT_LNC013183)
Source: RNAcentral